RNAcentral lists this ribosomal RNA (423 nucleotides) under uncultured bacterium. RNAcentral's name for it is "bacterial SSU rRNA". It matches the Rfam family "Bacterial small subunit ribosomal RNA", at positions 355 to 776 of the family's 1533-position model. The record is from RNAcentral.
UGGGGAAUAUUGGACAAUGGGCGGAAGCCUGAUCCAGCAACGCCGCGUGAGGGAUGACGGCCUUCGGGUUGUAAACCUCUUUCAUCACCGACGAAGGCAAGGUCUUUUGGUCUUGUUGACGGUAGGUGGAGAAGAAGCACCGGCCAACUACGUGCCAGCAGCCGCGGUAAUACGUAGGGUGCGAGCGUUGUCCGGAAUUAUUGGGCGUAAAGGGCUCGUAGGCGGUUUGUCGCGUCGGGAGUGAAAACCAGGUGCUUAACACUUGGCUUGCUUUCGAUACGGGCAGACUGGAGGUAUGCAGGGGAGAACGGAAUUCCUGGUGUAGCGGUGAAAUGCGCAGAUAUCAGGAGGAACACCGGUGGCGAAGGCGGUUCUCUGGGCAUUACCUGACGCUGAGGAGCGAAAGUGUGGGGAGCGAACAGG